This 415-nucleotide ribosomal RNA is filed under the name uncultured archaeon. RNAcentral's name for it is "bacterial SSU rRNA". It matches the Rfam family "Archaeal small subunit ribosomal RNA", at positions 583 to 997 of the family's 1478-position model. The record is from RNAcentral.
ACUGCCAGACUUGGAACCGGGAGAGGUAAGAGGUACUACAGGGUAGGAGUGAAAUCUUGUAAUCCCUGUGGGACCACCUGUGGCGAAGGCGUCUUACCGGAACGGGUUCGACGGUGAGGGACGAAAGCUGGGGGCACGAACCGGAUUAGAUACCCGGGUAGUCCCAGCCGUAAACGAUGCUCGCUAGGUGUCAGGCAUGGCGCGACCGUGUCUGGUGCCGCAGGGAAGCCGUGAAGCGAGCCACCUGGGAAGUACGGCCGCAAGGCUGAAACUUAAAGGAAUUGGCGGGGGAGCACAACAACGGGUGGAGCCCUGCGGUUUAAUUGGACUCAACGCCGGACAACUCACCGGGGGCGACAGCAAUAUGUAGGCCAAGCUGAAGACUUUGCCUGAAUCGCUGAGGAGUGGUGCAUGG